This 242-nucleotide long non-coding RNA is filed under the name Panax ginseng (ginseng). RNAcentral's name for it is "long non-coding RNA (PGIN_LNC013055)". The record is from RNAcentral. Lineage: Eukaryota; Viridiplantae; Streptophyta; Magnoliopsida; Apiales; Araliaceae.
AGAACGAAGAUUCAGAAGAUGAGAAGAGAACUGAGAGCUUCAAGGAUGAAUCCUCAAGGAGCAAGUCCAGUAAUGAAGAAGAAGUUGAAUCCAAGAAGGAGAAAGCUGAACCGAUGAAAGGAAUAGCUAAAUCUGGUAAUGAAGAAGAAUGUACAAGUCCUAUGACUAACACUUAGAGUAACAACUCUGAUGAUGAAGAAAGUUUAAAAGUUGAAACAACUGCAUCUCCUACAGCUAAAGUC